Molecule: ribosomal RNA, 449 nt
Filed under: uncultured bacterium
Lineage: Bacteria
Description: partial 16S ribosomal RNA
Rfam family: Bacterial small subunit ribosomal RNA
Source: RNAcentral
GUCGAGAAUCUUUCACAAUGGGGGCAACCCUGAUGGAGCGACGCCGCGUGGAGGAUAAGGUCUUCGGAUUGUAAACUCCUGUCAUGCGUGAACAAGGUUGCUUGGUUAAUACCUGGGCAAAUUGAUGGUAACGCAAGAGGAAGAGACGGCUAACUCUGUGCCAGCAGCCGCGGUAAUACAGAGGUCUCAAGCGUUGUUCGGAAUCACUGGGCGUAAAGGGUGCGUAGGUGGCGUGGUAAGUCAGAUGUGAAAGCCCGGGGCGCAACCUCGGAACUGCAUCCGAUACUGCCAUGCUAGAGUACUGGAGAGGUGACUAGAAUUCUCGGUGUAGCAGUGAAAUGCGUAAAUAUCGAGAGGAAUACCAAAGGCGUAGGCAGGUCACUGGACAGUUACUGACACUGAGGCACGAAGGCCAGGGGAGCGAACGGGAUUAGAAACCCGUGUAGUCC